This 481-nucleotide ribosomal RNA is filed under the name uncultured bacterium. RNAcentral's name for it is "bacterial SSU rRNA". It matches the Rfam family "Bacterial small subunit ribosomal RNA", at positions 28 to 526 of the family's 1533-position model. The record is from RNAcentral.
GACGAACGCUGGCGGCGUGCUUAACACAUGCAAGUCGAGCGGAAAGGCCCUUCGGGGUACUCGAGCGGCGAACGGGUGAGUAACACGUGAGUAACCUGCCCUUGACUUUGGGAUAACCCUCGGAAACGGGGGCUAAUACCGGAUAUGACACACUGACGCAUGUUGUGUGUGUGGAAAGUUUUUCGGCCAGGGAUGGGCUCGCGGCCUAUCAGCUUGUUGGUGGGGUGAUGGCCUACCAAGGCGACGACGGGUAGCCGGCCUGAGAGGGCGACCGGCCACACUGGGACUGAGACACGGCCCAGACUCCUACGGGAGGCAGCAGUGGGGAAUAUUGCACAAUGGGCGGAAGCCUGAUGCAGCGACGCCGCGUGAGGGAUGACGGCCUUCGGGUUGUAAACCUCUUUCAGCAGGGACGAAGCGAGAGUGACGGUACCUGCAGAAGAAGCGCCGGCCAACUACGUGCCAGCAGCCGCAGUAACAC